This 1258-nucleotide long non-coding RNA is filed under the name Nicotiana tabacum (common tobacco). RNAcentral describes it as "long non-coding RNA (NTAB_LNC010903)". The record is from RNAcentral. Lineage: Eukaryota; Viridiplantae; Streptophyta; Magnoliopsida; Solanales; Solanaceae.
UGGAACAGAAGGCCAAAGUGAAAGAAUACAAAAGCAGAAAAACUCUCUGGGGUCAGCCCUCUCUCUAGAAAUCAGUUCUCUCCUCGGCAAAAAUUUCACCCAAAUCAAAAUCCCUCAAAUCAAAAUGUGAAUCUCAUUUGUCAGGUAUGUUCAAAUCCCUAAUCUUUUCGUUUUUUUUUUUUUUUUGAGAAAGAAGCUGCUCUGCUUUAAUUGAUCGAUUUUGUGGAGGAAGAAUCAAAGAAACGAUUUAUGUUCCUAAUCGAUUUCGUAUUUCCUUUCCUUCUUAUUUGUUACUAUCUCAUAUCUAACUAAAACCCUAUAAAGAUUUAUAUAAGAUAUAUUUACAUUUGGGUAUUUUUUACAAUGAUUCUGUAAGACAAAAUUUCCAACAUGCAGUUAAGGAUAAAUAUAUUUUAAGCAAUUUCACAUUUGUAUUCUGAGAUUUCAUCUCGAAUUUCUCUGAACCAUUUGAUAAUUUACAGGAAUACAACAAAAAUAAUCACACAGAAAGAAUCAUUUAAAGCGUACUUGGUAUUAUUAUUAUUGAUUCCCGGUCUUGAUAGAAUCUUAUCUCUUUUCCAAGGUAAGUUAAAACCUUCUUCUUGAGAGACCUUUUACAUGUCGGCAUUUCAUUCUUAUUUUUUUUCUUAUAUGGUUAUGUGCCUAAUCAGUAGACAUGUAGUUUUUAAUUUUAUAAGGCAUACAUAUAUUAUUGUAUGGUUAUAAGAAAACAUAGUACUUCUUUGCGAAUGAUGUGGUGAAGUUAGAGUCUCUAGUGGUUCUCAAGAGGUCUUUCGAUAUUGUUAACAGUGCUUGAGAGGUAGUCUAAGUAUGUGAUUAACCUUGCACUAUGCAUCUGUUUCCUUGCUUGUGUGUCUUACUAAUCUUCAACAAUAUAUAUUGUUUUAUUGUGUUAUUCUUGUAUGCAAUCCAAAUAUUCUGGGCAGAGGACAAACCAUAAUAACAAGAAUUAAAAGAGUACAAAAUUUCUACUUUUGUCAAGAGAAGUCACAGGGUAAGUUCCAUCUGUUUGGCUUACUUAAUAUAUUUGUUGUUAUUUUUUCAAUUUUAUCAUUUUGGUGCUAAAUAUGCACGGGGAUUUGAUUCUUGCAACAACUGAAGUACAUUUUAGAUAGUGGUCAUAAUCUUCCCUUACCUGAUGGCCUUAUUAUCAAUGGUCAUUUAUGGAACAGAUACACAUUUACAUAUGCGAAAGAACAGAGUAGAAAUUCAAUUAGCAUUGAGAAACCAAACCGCA